This 497-nucleotide ribosomal RNA is filed under the name uncultured bacterium. RNAcentral describes it as "partial 16S ribosomal RNA". It matches the Rfam family "Bacterial small subunit ribosomal RNA", at positions 28 to 507 of the family's 1533-position model. The record is from RNAcentral.
GAUGAACGCUGGCGGCGUGCCUAAUACAUGCAAGUCGAGCGAACAGAUGAGGAGCUUGCUCCUCUGACGUUAGCGGCGGACGGGUGAGUAACACGUGGAUAACCUACCUAUAAGACUGGGAUAACUUCGGGAAACCGGAGCUAAUACCGGAUAAUAUAUUGAACCGCAUGGUUCAAUAGUGAAAGACGGUUUUGCUGUCACUUAUAGAUGGAUCCGCGCCGCAUUAGCUAGUUGGUAAGGUAACGGCUUACCAAGGCAACGAUGCGUAGCCGACCUGAGAGGGUGAUCGGCCACACUGGAACUGAGACACGGUCCAGACUCCUACGGGAGGCACAAGUAGGGAAUCUUCCGCAAUGGGCGAAAGCCUGACGGAGCAACGCCGCGUGAGUGAUGAAGGUCUUCGGAUCGUAAAACUCUGUUAUUAGGGAAGAACAAAUGUGUAAGUAACUAUGCACGUCUUGACGGUACCUAAUCAGAAAGCCACGGCUAACUACGUG